Long non-coding RNA from Paramisgurnus dabryanus, 916 nucleotides. RefSeq lists it as uncharacterized. Lineage: Eukaryota; Metazoa; Chordata; Actinopteri; Cypriniformes; Cobitidae. The record is from RefSeq and is a predicted model, not a curated record.
CUUACACUUUGUCAUUUAGUCACAUGACUCAAUGUGGGGUGCUGGUUCAGGAUAAAUAGGGAAGAAUCUCUUCCUGUCUCAGAAAAGAUUUGGCUCGACUCAUUUCUGAAGACUGGUGUAAAGAAGUGCAACUGAUAUGGCUUAUCAUAUGAAGGGACUCUUCCUGAUCUGCCUGCUUUCAAUUUCUACUACAAGCACAGAGGCUCAGAAUAUUAAAAAUCUUGCUUCCAUUGUAAAUUUCUUGAACUCAAAUUACCAGGUACUGCAGUAUGCAGCAGCCAUCAAUGUCCCACAGGAACAGUGUCAGGAGAAUUUCGAACCCUCGACUAUCAACUUCUUAAAAGAUGACAAAGGAAAUAAUGUAAAAAAUACUAUAAGAGGUGAUACAAGACCAGUCUACGAAGGCACAGAGCUCAUCGCUGCAGGAGUCCAGAAAAAACCUAAUAAAGCACAUUCAGAGUUUCUGCUUCUAGACCCUGUAAAUAAUUCACAUUUGACAGAUUUACUGAAUAAGAGAAAGGAUGGAUGUGUGGUGUUUUACACCCUAAACUCUCCCUGUAUGAAGACCUGUCUCACUGGAGAGCACCAGAUUAUACCAAGUGUAGAUGAACUAAAAAACUAUCAGGGAAUAAAAGCCUUUGCUUUCCAAAAUAUCUGGAAAUAUGAUAAAGGCAAACCAGAGGAGCUGAAAGUAAAACUGAAGACUAUUGCUGAUCGUGUCCCACUCUACCGCUGCCAAAUCAAUAAACCAUGCAUCCUUUGUGGAGAGCCAAAUUCAAAUGUUGAAAUAAACAAAGCAUGUUUGUCUGGUUGAAAAAAAAAACACUGGUCAUGGUGCUUGAUUGGUUAAUUUUCAUGAGCUUAUAAGAUGCUUCAGAUGCUUUUUCAAAGACUCAUUAAAAAUGAUCUAAUUUCA